Molecule: ribosomal RNA, 468 nt
Filed under: uncultured bacterium
Lineage: Bacteria
Description: partial 16S ribosomal RNA
Rfam family: Bacterial small subunit ribosomal RNA
Source: RNAcentral
GACGAACGCUGGCGGCGUGCUUAACACAUGCAAGUCGAACGGAAAGGCCCUGCUUUUGUGGGGUGCUCGAGUGGCGAACGGGUGAGUAACACGUGAGUAACCUGCCCUUGACUUUGGGAUAACUUCAGGAAACUGGGGCUAAUACCGGAUAGGAGCUCCUGCUGCAUGGUGGGGGUUGGAAAGUUUCGGCGGUUGGGGAUGGACUCGCGGCUUAUCAGCUUGUUGGUGGGGUAGUGGCUUACCAAGGCUUUGACGGGUAGCCGGCCUGAGAGGGUGACCGGCCACAUUGGGACUGAGAUACGGCCGAGAGUCCUACGGGAGGCAGCAGUGGGGAAUAUUGCACAAUGGGCGGAAGCCUGAUGCAGCAACGCCGAGUGCGGGAUGACGGCCUUCGGGUUGUAAACCGCUUUCGCCUGUGACGAAGCGUGAGUGACGGUAAUGGGUAAAGAAGCACCGGCUAACUACGUG